Molecule: ribosomal RNA, 253 nt
Filed under: uncultured bacterium
Lineage: Bacteria
Description: partial 16S ribosomal RNA
Rfam family: Bacterial small subunit ribosomal RNA
Source: RNAcentral
UACGUAGGGUGCAAGCGUUAUUCGGAAUUACUGGGCGUAAAGCGUGCGCAGGCGGUUUGGUAAGACAGAUGUGAAAUCCCCGGGCUUAACCUGGGAACUGCAUUUGUGACUGCCCGGCUAGAGUGUGCCAGAGGGGGGUAGAAUUCCACGUGUAGCAGUGAAAUGCGUAGAUAUGUGGAGGAAUACCGAUGGCGAAGGCAGCCCCCUGGGAUAACACUGACGCUCAUGCACGAAAGCGUGGGGAGCAAACAGG